Molecule: transfer RNA, 72 nt
Filed under: Pseudomonadota bacterium
Lineage: Bacteria; Pseudomonadati; Pseudomonadota
Also listed under: 1 other name
Description: tRNA-Met
Rfam family: tRNA
About the family: Transfer RNA (tRNA) molecules are approximately 80 nucleotides in length.
Source: RNAcentral
GGCGAGGUAGCUCAAUGGCAGAGCACCGGACUCAUAAGCCGUAGGUUGUGGGUUCAAGUCCCACCCUCGCCA